RNAcentral lists this ribosomal RNA (388 nucleotides) under uncultured bacterium. RNAcentral's name for it is "bacterial SSU rRNA". It matches the Rfam family "Bacterial small subunit ribosomal RNA", at positions 30 to 416 of the family's 1533-position model. The record is from RNAcentral.
AUUGAACGCUGGCGGCAUGCCUUACACAUGCAAGUCGAACGGCAACACGGGUGCUUGCACCUGGUGGCGAGUGGCGAACGGGUGAGUAAUAUAUCGGAACAUACCCUAGAGUGGGGAUAACGUAGCGAAAGUUACGCUAAUACCGCAUACGAACUAAAGGUUGAAAGUGGGGGAUCGCAAGACCUCAUGCUCAUGGAGUGGCCGAUAUCUGAUUAGCUAGUUGGUGAGGUAAAGGCUCACCAAGGCGACGAUCAGUAGCUGGUUUGAGAGAACGACCAGCCACACUGGAACUGAGACACGGUCCAGACUCCUACGGGAGGCAGCAGUGGGGAAUUUUGGACAAUGGGGGCAACCCUGAUCCAGCAAUGCCGCGUGCAGGAAGAAGGCC